GACGAACGCUGGCGGCGUGCUUAACACAUGCAAGUCGAACGGUGAAGCGCCUUCCUUUUUGGUGGGUGUGGAUGAGUGGCGAACGGGUGAGUAACACGUGAGUAACCUGCCCCCUUCUUCUGGAUAACCGCAUGAAAGUGUGGCUAAUACGGGAUAUUCUGGGUCUGUCGCAUGAUGGGUCUGGGAAAGAUAUUGUUUCGGUGGGGGAUGGGCUCGCGGCCUAUCAGCUUGUUGGUGGGGUGAUGGCCUACCAAGGCGGUGACGGGUAGCCGGCCUGAGAGGGUGGACGGUCACACUGGGACUGAGACACGGCCCAGACUCCUACGAGAGGCAGCAGGGGGGAAUAUUGCACAAUGGGCGCAAGCCUGAUGCAGCGACGCCGCGUGAGGGAGGGAGGCCUUCGGGUUGUGAACCUCUUUCGCCAGUGAAGCAGGCCUGCCUCGUUUGUGGGUGGGUUGACGGUAGCUGGAUAAGAAGCGCCGGCUAACUACGUG
Molecule: ribosomal RNA, 494 nt
Filed under: uncultured bacterium
Lineage: Bacteria
Description: partial 16S ribosomal RNA
Rfam family: Bacterial small subunit ribosomal RNA
Source: RNAcentral